GCGAUCCAGCUGGGGUGGAUCUCGGACCUCCUCGCGGACACCGAGCGGUUGAUAGCCAGCAACAGAGGCUACGUGCGUGACCUGCUCGAAUCCAUCGACGACGGCACAUGCCCCUUCACCUUCGCCGAGCUCCAAGACGAGAUCCGCGACCUCCGCGAGUCAAGGGCCGUCGACGCCGCGCUGGACGGGAUCAAGGAGAUGCUCGACAACGUGCGAGCCAUCCUCACCCGCGCUUCGUCCCAUGGUGCUCGCGAUCAUUUGUCAAAAAUAGAGCAUAACAUUCCACACCGCAAAUUUAUGAUCAAUCAUAUUAUAUACAGAUAUCCAAGGAAAGUAGGAAACUACAGCAAAUGCCAGAACGCACAGUUGUUCAUGCAUACAUUCUAG
RNAcentral lists this long non-coding RNA (387 nucleotides) under Oryza sativa Indica Group (long-grained rice). Its description in RNAcentral is "lncRNA OsMH63_06G017820". Lineage: Eukaryota; Viridiplantae; Streptophyta; Magnoliopsida; Poales; Poaceae. The record is from RNAcentral.